This 253-nucleotide ribosomal RNA is filed under the name uncultured bacterium. RNAcentral describes it as "partial 16S ribosomal RNA". It matches the Rfam family "Bacterial small subunit ribosomal RNA", at positions 524 to 776 of the family's 1533-position model. The record is from RNAcentral.
UACGUAGGAUGCAAGCGUUAUCCGGAAUGAUUGGGCGUAAAGCGUCCGCAGGUGGCUGUGUAAGUCUGCUGUUAAAGAGUCUAGCUCAACUAGAUAAAGGCAGUGGAAACUACACGGCUAGAGUGCGUUCGGGGCAGAGGGAAUUCCUGGUGUAGCGGUGAAAUGCGUAGAGAUCAGGAAGAACACCGGUGGCGAAGGCGCUCUGCUAGGCCGCAACUGACACUGAGGGACGAAAGCUAGGGGAGCGAAUGGG